RNAcentral lists this ribosomal RNA (504 nucleotides) under Obtusitermes sp. 2 RCD-2018. Its description in RNAcentral is "partial 16S ribosomal RNA". It matches the Rfam family "Bacterial large subunit ribosomal RNA", at positions 1807 to 2577 of the family's 2925-position model. The record is from RNAcentral. Lineage: Eukaryota; Metazoa; Arthropoda; Insecta; Blattodea; Termitidae.
ACAAAAACAUCUUUUCUUGUUAGUUUUUGAAGUAUAACCUGCCCACUGACGUUGAGUUGAAGGGCCGCGGUAUUUUGACCGUGCAAAGGUAGCAUAAUCAUUAGUUCUUUAAUUGUGAUCUGGUAUGAAUGGUUUGACGAGGCAUGGACUGUCUUGGAGGUAUUGUUUGUUGAAUUUAGGUUUUGAGUUAAAAUUCUUAGAUGUUUUUAUGGGACGAGAAGACCCUAUAGAGUUUGACAAUUUUCUUAUUUGUGUUGUUGUUGGUUUUAUUUUGUUGAGUAGGCAAAAUUGUUUUGUUGGGGUGAUGGGAGGAAUUUAUUUAACUCCUCUUUUAUUUUAUAUAUUUAUGUAUAUUUUUUUGAUCCAUUUAUUUUGAUUAUAAGAUUAAAUUACCUUAGGGAUAACAGCGUUAUCCUCCUUGAGAGUUCUUAUUGGCGGGAGGGAUUGCGACCUCGAUGUUGGAUUAAGGUGAAUUUCGGUGCAGAAGCUGAGAGUGAUUAGGUC